RNAcentral lists this long non-coding RNA (357 nucleotides) under Homo sapiens (human). RNAcentral's name for it is "HSALNT0369713". The record is from RNAcentral. Lineage: Eukaryota; Metazoa; Chordata; Mammalia; Primates; Hominidae.
AAUGAAAUGACAGUAGGAAAAUAAUAAAAGGCCACAGGUGAAUUUGAGAGAGAACCCAGGGACAGAUGGCAGGAAUGGAGGUGGGAGUGGAGGAGUGACACUAUACACUUGGUCUGGCCAGAUGUAUUGAACUUUGAUGUGACAAACCCAGGUCAGAUAUUCUCAGCGUUUAGCAAACUUCUGAAUAUCCUGGUCAGUCUUGAAGUACACUUCUUCCCUUUCCUUUUUCUGUUCCCAACAUCUCUGCUUUACUGCCCACGUACUGAAACACUGAAACACACCCAGUCAGAUGUCAGACUAGGCUGUCUCAGGCUCUAAAAUUACCCAACAUGCCAUUGAUUAAAACCCUCACUUCCC